AACGAACGCUGGCGGCAUGCCUAACACAUGCAAGUCGAACGGGAUCCUGGUUUCGGCCAGGUGAGAGUGGCGGACGGGUGAGUAACGCGUGGGAAUCUGCCCAGUGGUGGGGGAUAACUGCGGGAAACUGCAGCUAAUACCGCAUGAGCCCGCAAGGGGAAAGAUUGAUCGCCAUUGGAGGGGCCCGCGUUCGAUUAGGUAGUUGGUGAGGUAACGGCUCACCAAGCCUACGANCGAUAGCUGGUCUGAGAGGAUGAUCA
This 260-nucleotide ribosomal RNA is filed under the name uncultured bacterium. RNAcentral describes it as "partial 16S ribosomal RNA". It matches the Rfam family "Bacterial small subunit ribosomal RNA", at positions 29 to 306 of the family's 1533-position model. The record is from RNAcentral.